Molecule: non-coding RNA, 2146 nt
Organism: Sturnus vulgaris (Common starling)
Lineage: Eukaryota; Metazoa; Chordata; Aves; Passeriformes; Sturnidae
Source: RefSeq, a predicted model, not a curated record
ACUCCAGGGCUGUUUUCCACACCAGUAUGUCUGAUGUCUCUGCUUUGAAACAACCAGCCUGUAUUGUGGGAAAUAAACAGGUUGGUGGCACACCUACUUAAUUUUUUUGUUAUGCCUGCAUUAUCAAAGAAGGAAUGUACACAUUGCAACCUCUCCUGUUCUAUGUUAAUGUAGAGUGACUAUAAAAUUCUUUUCGGAUUACUCUGCAAUCUGCAAGAACAAGCAAUUACAAGGGUCUGCAACAUGCUUAUUUGAACUCAUCAAAUCUGCUGUGUGUUGUCCACCUGCUCCUCUCCAGCAACAGCAGGAUCGUUGUUAGCUGGUCACAGAGCCUUCAUGAUAUAUUUGCCACCAAGCAGAAACUAAUUUUUAAGACUUUUCUGAAGACAUUAUGGUGCCCAGAAGUUUCCACAGGGAAACUUUCAAUAAAUAUCAUCUCUCUGAAAACAUGGAAAAAACCUCUUCUCUAUAGAUCUUCAGCCAAUGACUGCCUCUAGGAAAUGAAGGUUUGUAGGAAUAUAAAACUGACAUAUGGCGCUUUUCACGCAGUAUAGAGGCUUUUUCCAAAAGCACAGAUAUUGAUGAGAAAUCAUGUUUAAUUUCCAUUUGCACAACGUUUUAUCACGUGUUCUCAUAGCUGUGUUUGAUUACUUAUUUGAUGUCUCUUCCCAUGAAAGCAAAAUCAAAAAAGAAACUUUCAAGGAUAACCCUACUCAGUAUAGUUGGAAUACACUUUUUUCCUAUGCUAACUUAUUUAUUGGCACAGGAAUAGGAUCAAUGUUUUCAGAAUAUUCACAGCACAUACUGCCUAUGCUAAGAGAUACACUUAAAUCUUGUUGAUUCAAGUGUGACUUCAGCAUCAUAAGUUAAAUACACACUUAAAGUCUUUUCAAAAGGUGCCUCAAACACUUGUUAAAACCUCCCUCUUUCAUACCAAAGGGUCAUAAUAACUUGGAGUUAGUGCUGCCACUCUGAAUUCUUUGAUCUAUGCAACAAGCUCUUCCUUGUUGUCUGCUGCCCAUCUGUUCAUCUCCUCGCCCCAGUUGCACUCCAUGAGAGCCUGUGGGCUUUCUGAAGUCUAACUUAUUUAAGUGGGAGGCAGCAGAAAUUCAGUCCUGAUCCACCAGAAAGGCUAAAAUGUUGACACUCAUGAGUAUUCAUGAGUCAGAUGAUAGAAACUGUACCAAAUGUGGAGAGGAACAAAUUGCAGCUAAUUGCAGAAAACUGCUAGCAGUCCAUGGGAAGAGGCAGAAUCAAACAAGAAAUCCUACAAAUUUCGGGAACCUUAGAAUUCCUCUUGCCUAUGAUGUUUUUACAGUCUUUCUCUAAACUUAUCCUCUUGUUCUUUCAAUAGCAAGCUAGCUACCCCUUUGCUCCUUUUGUAUAUAUAAUUUUUUGCCUCUUUUUUUUUUUUUCACAAUCCCUUUCCCAUCCUCCUUUUACCUCCAAAAAUAUGUGAGUAGAUAAAAAAGCAGUGCCUGUGACCUCUGACUUUUCUCUGCUUCCAAUAGAAACAGGAUGCAGGUUGAUGCUUGAGCAGAAUUCAUGAUAAUUUUAAUCCUUUUGAAACAAAUAUUUCAAUGUUUUUGUCAUCUGGAGCCCUAGGAUAAACUUUGGAACAAGAAUAUUCUAUCUAUAUUUGUUUAUGUAAUUUUCAAGAUCUUUAUGUCUGUUUGGUUUUUAUUUUUGUACAUUAUGGUGCUCACUACCAAAUGGAAACAGUGGAGUCUCUGUGGAGUCAUAGCUAUCUGUGGAAAGUCAUACAGAAAUUUGGAUCUCUCUUCCAUGUUCAGGGAGUCAAACCCCUUCAGCAGAUCAGCAUCACCCUCUUCCAGGCCAUAAAAAGCAAUAUUAAGUCUGUCAUCAUAUGGAAGUCUGUACAAAGAGCAGAUUUUUUUUCUAAAUUUCUCCAUUUCUUUAUGUCAACUAUUCUCCAUCCUUUGUAUUUACACUAUUUCUCUUCCAUCAGCAGUUCCAAAAUAACAAAAUCUAACAAAUGCCUAAUUUGUCAAAGAUAUGAGAAAUUUUGCUUUUUCACAUCGAUCAAGCACUUGACACAUGGUAGAUAUACAGUGAUAGAUGGUAGAUACACACACCAAAAUCUUGUGACUGAGCAAAAGGCUACAAAUAAUUCCAUUCUACAGAA